RNAcentral lists this ribosomal RNA (445 nucleotides) under uncultured Anaplasma sp. RNAcentral's name for it is "bacterial SSU rRNA". It matches the Rfam family "Bacterial small subunit ribosomal RNA", at positions 19 to 492 of the family's 1533-position model. The record is from RNAcentral. Lineage: Bacteria; Pseudomonadati; Pseudomonadota; Alphaproteobacteria; Rickettsiales; Anaplasmataceae.
CUGGCUCAGAACGAACGCUGGCGGCAAGCUUAACACAUGCAAGUCGAACGGACCGUAUACGCAGCUUGCUGCGUGUAUGGUUAGUGGCAGACGGGUGAGUAAUGCAUAGGAAUCUACCUAGUAGUAUGGGAUAGCCACUAGAAAUGGUGGGUAAUACUGUAUAAUCCCUGCGGGGGAAAGAUUUAUCGCUAUUAGAUGAGCCUAUGUCAGAUUAGCUAGUUGGUGGGGUAAUGGCCUACCAAGGCGGUGAUCUGUAGCUGGUCUGAGAGGAUGAUCAGCCACACUGGAACUGAGACACGGUCCAGACUCCUACGGGAGGCAGCAGUGGGGAAUAUUGGACAAUGGGCGCAAGCCUGAUCCAGCUAUGCCGCGUGAGUGAGGAAGGCCUUAGGGUUGUAAAACUCUUUCAGUAGGGAAGAUAAUGACGGUACCUACAGAAGAAGUC